CAACAUCCACAAACCACUUGAGUUUAAGCUCUUCACUUUACACUACUUUUUUUUGUCAUAUCACGGGACACUUAACAAAAUCAUUGAGGAAAAUAGUGAAAAGAAGUGUUUAUUUAUUUUUCCAUUAAUAUUGAAGUGAUAUUAACUAGAGAAAAUUAAUCACAUUCACGUUCACAUUCACUUCCCCCUCUAUAUAAACCCUACACCCAGCACCGCUCAUACUCACCAAGUGAACCAAUAUAGCCCAAGCCCUAUACAACCAAACCCUAACACACACCCAUUUGAUUCAGUUUCCAUGGCUAGCCUCAAGGUUGCAUUUUUGGCUGCAGUGCUCUGCAUGGUUGUGGUGAGUGCACCCAUGGCACAUGCAGCUAUCACGUGCGGGCAGGUGACGAAUAGCCUGAUCAAUUGCAUCGGUUACCUCCAGAACGGAGGAACGCCGCCGUCGGGAUGCUGCAACGGAGUGAAGAGCCUCAAUGCCGCCGCCAAGACCACCGCCGACCGCCAGACGGCGUGCAACUGCCUCAAGUCGGCCGCCAGCCAAAUCUCCGGCUUCAAAGCCAACAACGCCGCCUCGCUCCCCGGCAAAUGCGGAGUCUCCAUCCCCUACAAGAUCAGCACCUCCACCAACUGCGCUACGUAAGAAUAUAUAUAACUUCAUUUUAAUUAUCAUCAUAUUUUUUUCCCACUCUCACUAUACUCUCUUUUUGCUGAUGAAAUUAUUCUAUAGUCUAAAGUGACAAAAGGAUGGCCUUUUUACAAGUAUAAAAAAAUUCAUUAGAAAGCCUAACAACUAACUAAUUAAUUUUCACCUAACAUGUUUUGAACUAAUAUAUCAUGAAACAAGCAAAAUCUUAUAUUUUGAAUGUUAUCUCUUUUAUUUUUGUAUAUUUAAACCCACGUAAUUCCAGUUUUUAUAAUCAGUCCUCUCUGACUCAAGAUCUUGGGUAAGCCUUGUCUAGGAUAAUAAUUUAGAUUAAUUUCUAUUUGAUACUUAGUUGCACUUUAUUGAUUUUUUUUUCUCGUAAAUGUAGAGAUCAAUUGAAACUGUAGAUAAAGGACGAUUGCAAACCAUACCUUAAAUUUUUAAAUUCAUGUUACUGAUAUCUCAUCAUAGGGAGAAUGAAAUAUGUCAUAAUAAAAUAAAUUAUAAUUUUCAUGUUAAUUUUAAGUAACUAUAAAUAAUUUUUUUUUAAAAAAACUAUUGCAUAAAAAUUAUAUAUUUUUUUUCAUUUUUAAUGAUUUAAAAGUAACUCUAAAGAUUAAUGAUAGCAAAACCAAAUGAAACAAGAUACUAGUAUAUUGUACACUUCCGCCCCUAUUCUUUCAUUAAUAUACUUCUACUUCAGCUCACUAUGCAAACUAUACUAAAUAUAGAGUAAUCUAUUUUGAUUUGACCGUGUUCAUUACCUUGAUUCAUUUGUUGGUUACACUUUGCAGCAUCAAGGUUUGAAGAGAAAGUCAUGGACGCAGGAAACCGGAAACUACUCACUAGUAUAUGAGUAGCAUUAUUAAUAUUAAGAAUAAGAUCGAGGGUGAUGAGGGCUCCACUUAUAUGCCCCUCUCCUCUUGUAUGAGAGAUUUGUAUUGGAUAGCUUUAAAUUGUGUUGCGUUGUUAUUUCUCUGUAUGAGUUACACAUAGUUAUAUCUACUUUAAUAUUGGGUUCUCCCUACUUUGUCUCGUUGCUCUUUUUUGGAUUUAUCAUCGAUAUCACUCAUCACAUCUCUAUAAUUAGCUGAUAAAAAAACAACGAUUAGUAAUUGGUACUAAUAUUUGGAUCAAUUUAAUUUGAUUAGUUUGUUGAUAAAAAAUAACAGUUUUACAUUAUAAGUGAAUUAUAAAUGUCUCUUAUUUAAAAUAGCAGUGUUAAAAUGUCACAAAAAUCAUCAUGUGAAUAACGAGUCCUAAAGGUUAUAUAAUGAUUAGAAAUGUCUCGCUUUCAAAUUUUAAUGGUGAUAAGGUACGGUGGUUGAAGGUCUUUCUCAGAUAUUCAUUAUGAACCUAUUGGAAUUGUAUGUCAAACAUAUCAUAAAUGAAAAGUCGAAAGUACUAGAUUACAUACAUACCUUGCUAACUUUUUUUUUUACCAAACCUUGCUAACUUAAUCACUUCCAUUAUUUAAACGUCAAAAAAAUAUAUUAUAGGUGAUAUUGUAUAUAUAAUUAAACGUACAAUUUUUUGCCAGUCACAAAUAUUGUUUGAUCCAGUCAGAAAUUUAUGAUUAAAAAACAUUUUCCUUAUCUAUUUGUCUAUAAACUCCGCAUAUUUGUAAGAGGUUAAAUCUUAGUUUUAAGAAGUCAAGCUAUGAUCUCAAUAUAACAUAAACUAUUCUUUUAUGAGAAUAAAGCAAAUUAAGAUUCUAUUUUUCUUUUUUUCUUUCUUUAACUAAAUAAAAACCUUUAAAAAAUAAAUAAAUUUAAUAUUUUCUUUUUCUGCAUUCAAACUAAAUCGAAUGGCCUGACUAUUGAAAAACGUAAACUUCUCUAUCUUUUGUUAAAAGAAAAAUGAAUUUUAUUGAUAAAAGCCUAAUAGGUAGUCAAAAUUCACACAAAAAGUGCCAGAACUGAUCGCAAAAGUCCAAGACAGAAACAGACGAAAAUCAUUCAAUAAGGACCAAAACAGACCAAAUUUUCAACCUCCCUAGUUCCUAGCCAUACCACUCCACACACGUUAAAAAAACACAUACUUGUAAAGGCCCAGACCACCCCGCAACGCAUUACAAAAUCAGCUAAAAAUAGAGAAGAAAGAGAUAAGGUGGAAUUUUGAAUUGAUUGGUUUGAGAAAUAUUAUAAAAAAUAAAUUUAAGAAAAAUAAUAUUUUGAGAUAGUUUGAUUUGAAUAAAUGGAAAGAAGAGAAAUUAGAGUAAAUAAAAAAAAUAUACCAUUUUAUCCUUACCAUCUAAAAUAAUUGCUCGUACCAAUUUAAUUUAUUAUGCAUGUGUUUGUUUGCAUGUUUAGAGCCUUUUUUAUCGUCAAAAUAUAAAAAACAACGCAGAAGCUUCAUUUUGCUGCUUCAAGCUUGACCUGGGUCAAUGAUGUUGGACGCUAAACCAAAAAGACAUUAUAUAUGUAUAUGGUAAUCGAUUAAAUUGUUCUUCUAAGAAUCACAUCAUUGCAUUCUUCUAUUUAAUUGAUUAUUAUAUGAAUAUCUCCACUAAUUAACUGGUUCAUCCACGAGUAAACAAGCAUGGUGAACAACCUCAGCAUAUAUAUUGUGUAGAAUAUCAAAAUUGUAAGUAAAUUACCUUGUAGAAUUAGGAGGCACUUAUAAAACUAAGAACAAAUUAAGAUCAUCUCCACGAAAUAGAUCUUCCACACAAUACAUACAUUAUUGAUUAUUUACGCGGGGAGUACUAGCAGCGGCGCAAGGUUGUGUUUUUCGUAAACUUUCACGGUUGCUUUUCGUGCUAAACAGUAUUUUUCAAUUUCUAUUUAGAUUUUAAAUCCACCUAUUGCAAGUUUUGAGAGUUGGGCAUUUGUAACUAUGAAAUUAUCAAGCCAGGACCAAGUUAUCAUGCCUUAGAUAUUUCACCUCAGUUUUUUUUUAUCAGCAAAAUAUAUUUAUAGAUAGGUAGAAAACGGAACAACACGGUACAAGUGGUACCGUUAAAACAACAGAACAACUGCAACUAGAGUUACAACAUAGAAAGGGAGCAUCCACUUAAUCCAUACCUCACAAAAACCCAAUCUUCCUUAAUGCAAGUGUUUGGAUUACUCAACCAGACCUACCAUGAAGAGCUAAAGGCCUCAUCUUUGGAAGAAAGCACUACUAAAAAAAUACUUUUUUACAAUGCACCUUCGACACUAGUUCCCACAAAACAGUCUUAGUAUAUAAAAUAGUGGCAAUUUUGUAAAUAUAAAGUUUUUCAACAAAGACGAUUUUACAAAAACCGUCUUAGACAGGUAGCUUUUUAAGAUGGUUUUGCAAAAACCAUCUUAAAAUGACAUUUUUCUAAAACGGUUUCGCGAAAACUAUCAUCAAAGGAUGAGAGACUUUUCGCUGAGAUUAAAUUCAUCCAUAAACCUAGGUAGACCCUAACUACUUUCAUAACAACAGCCAAAGGUGACCUUUGGAGUUCAGGUCGCACGGGUUGUGGAAGUUUCGAGACUUGACCUAACGGCACACGAGGAUUUGUUGGGGAUUUGUUGCGCUUCCCUAUAGCCUCCAGAUCCAGAAGACCUUCAACAACAUCAAGAUCACCAUUGUCUACGACUUUGUACAACGAGGUCAUCAACCAAAAUCUCAUUGAGGAGACCAACCGCAUCCUCGUCAAGAUUCAAUAUGACGCUGACCCUUUCGAUCCCAACGACCAACAAUUCUUCAACCCUAACGACACCUUCACCCUUCACCCAAAAAAUUGGCUUCACCAAAACCCCGAGUACCCUAAUUUCCUCAAAGGUAAACCUCGCAUCUUACUCCUUACCGGUUCCCCUCCCAAGCCCUAUGAUAACCUUAUUCUUGUUUCAAAUUUAAUUUAUUAUUAGGGUCUAAUUCAUUAUUAUGUUUGUAGAAGAAAAUAUGAUAUGAAGUUUUAUGAAGUUUUGAUAAUGUCAAAGAUAAGCGCUUCUCACGUUUGAUCCAAGUCAAGAAUCCAAAAAUUCAAGAUAAUUGAUGAACUUAGUUCCUAGAAUCUAAGGAAGAGUUUCUUAAAUGAUGAUGCACAGGUUUCGCCAAAGGAUAUUUUCCAAAAAUUUUUGAGAUUUCAUAAAUAUGAUAUUUACUCUCUGAUAAUCGAUUACCAGAGGCUGUAAUCGAUUACCAGUGGCCAAAAUAAUUUCUGAAAUGCUCUUACAAAAUUUGAAUUUAAAUUUUAAGCCUAUAACCGAUUACACAAGGCUUGUAAUCGAUUACCAGAAGUUUUAAACGUUUUGUAACAGCCUUUAGAAAUUUGAAUUUAAAUUUUAAAGCCUGUAAUCGAUUACCAGACAUGAAAAUUCAAAUUUCAAAUCUGAAGAGUCACAACUCUUCAAAAACUAAUUGUGUAAUCGAUUACAACAGUUAUGUAAUCGAUUACCAGUAAGAAAUUUUUGAAAAUAACUCCCAAAAGUCACAGUUGUUCAAGAAGUUUUUGAAUAACCAUCAAAGACCUAUAAAUAGGUGACUUGGGACACGAAAUUCCUCAGAGUUUUCCUGAACAAAUUGUCUUAUCCUCUCAAUACCAAAUUGUCUUAUAACUCUCAAAAAGAAUUCCUUGGGCAAAACACUUGCAAAUUCAAUAAGGAAUCUUAAGUGAUCUUCAUUUGUAAUAUAUUUCUCUUAAAGAGAGAAUUCUUCUUUUUCUUCUUAUUCAAAUAAAUUGAUUAAGGGACCGAGGGUCUCUUAUGUUGUAAGAAUUUCUGAACGCAAGGGAAGGCUUGUCCCUGUGUGGUUCAGACUUUGUAAAAGACAUUUUACAAGAUAGUGGAAAUCUCAAGCGAGCUGCUUGGGAACUGGAUGUAGGCACAAGGCGUGGUCGAACCAGUAUAAAAACUGAGUUUGCAUUCUCUUUUCCCUUGAACUUCUUUUAUUUUAUUGCAGUUUAUAUUUCGCUUUAAAGAAGUUUAUUUUGAAUUGUUCUUGAAAUAAUUCAUAAUUAGGGUUUCAUUAUUAAUUAAAAAGAGAGUUAAAUUUUAAUUGGGGAUAGUUUGGUAUCUCAAUUCAACCCCCCUUCAUAAGAUACUAAGGCCACUUGUCUAACAAUGUUUGGUAUUGCGUCUUACAGUAUCAGUCCAAACAUUUGAGAAGGUUAGCUCGAAACAUUUUAUGGGGUUUGUGAGAAAGAUCCAGACAAGGUAAAUGUUUUUCAUGAAUUAUGUAGAAUAAUAAUAUGAAUAUUGUACCAUAUUAUCUCAUUCUUGACUCAAAUACUUAUCAAAUGCAACUUGUGUUCUAGUAUUAGGUUCUACAAGCAAUGAUUCAAAUGGGAGUUCAUGUCCCUACUGGAGAUAUGACUGUUAUUAGAAGAACAACACAAUUCUUCCUCAACAGGUAUUUAUAAACCAAUUUAGUGGGAAUAUAUCUCAAAUGGAAUCACCUCUAGUACUUAAGCAAUGAUAUUUCUACAAGUUAAUAGUAUUAUACGGAAAAUUUAAGGGUUGGAGAAUCCAAGUCAAAAUAUUUUAUCUUGAAAAAGAAAGGUUGAUAACUGUGAAAUAUGAGCUAAUUUGAUAGUUAAUUGUGGCUAAUAAAUAUGUGUAAUUUCUUUACUUUAUUAUUGUUUUUAAGGAAAUAAUGAAAAAAUUAACAUCUUUGCAAUUUUUUAUUAGCAAAAUUCAAAAGAAGAAGAUUUCAAGUGUUUUAGAGGAAAAAUUGAUGCAAAAACUGGAAGAAAAAGCCUUGAAGAAAAGUUGGAAUAAUUGGACAGCUCGCUUAGCGCGUGCUGCAAACUUAGCACGCGUUGAAGGCUUAGCGAGCAAAAAGCCUACAGCGAAGCCCAAAUGUGUGCUUAGCGUGAAAUCUCACACUAAGCACGAUUUCAGCGUAAAAAUUAAGCUACCAGGAGCCUAUAUAAGGAGGAGAAAGAAAAAGGGAAAGACACAUCGAGUCUCGAAGCUCUCCAGUGAAAAAAUCCAAAGUCUGAGUCUCUCCCUUAAGGGAAAUCCUCUUUUCUUAUCCAUGCCCCAUUUUCUUACUACUAGUCAUCCAGCCCUUUCUUCCAUUAGUCUCUGAAGUGUAAAUCCUCUCAUGGCUAUGAGAGGCUAAACCCUUAUGUUGGGAGCCUAGUAGCCAAUGCCUUUGUAAUAUAACUGUUCUUCUUAUCUAUUAAUGCAAUUUCAUUUUCUAUUGUUUCUUUUCUAUUUUUCAUCUUUAUUGUGUGGUUUAGCCAUCCAUGCAUCUGUUUUUAGGGGUUAUACAUUGGGAAAUGAUAAUUUCUAAAGAACUGGAAGGGGCAUCUCAAUAUUGCAUUACUAGGGAUAGAGUGACUUUGUUGUGCCUCUGCAUACAUCUUUAUAUUUAAUGUUGUUUAUGAUUCAAUCUUUGUAAAGAGAUUUGGGAGAAAGAAUACAUAAAUUAGGUUUUUCAUCAUGAGGGAUCAGGGUUGAGCAUAUUAGUAGAUGUGGGUGGAAAUUGGAAAAACAGUUAAUAGAGAAAAACAUUAAUAUUGCAUCAAGGAUAGUUAGGCAUGUUAGGCCCCAACAUUAUUACAUUAUGAACUCAUCUUUUUGCAUUUAAAUUACUGUUUAUUUUUGUUAUCUUUUUCUUUUCCUUUUAUUCCCAAAUUUCACACUUACAAUUCCCUUUCUCUUCUACUUCUCUUUCUUACAAAUUGAGUAUUUACCAACGUAAGUACAAACAAAGUCCUUGUGGACUCGACACUCGGUCUUCCAUUUUAAUCUUUACUACUUGUGAUAAAAAUUGGUACACUUGCCAAUCUAUUAACAAAGGUUUUGCAUAUUCAAUAUAUUUCUUUAGAUGGUUCUUUGGUUUGUUUCAUUUAUACCUGUCAUGUGGGAAGCUGAAAUGCAUGUAGUUGGGUUGUUUCAUUUGGGAAAGUAGUAAGAAAUAUUGGGUCGGAUACAUGCAACUCCAAUCAAGGUAUUGUUUGAACUGAUCUUUUGGAUAAUUUGUGUUGCUAAAGUUGUGAGUAUCUUAUUGAUUGCUAGUAUUGGUAGAUAAUGAUGAUAUGUUUAUAUGGUCCUAGCCUCAAAGGUAAUUGUUAGAUACUUCACCUUCAUGGAUCAAAUAUGCAUGGAGAUGUGGGAGGGGGAGAAAGUAGUGCGAUCAAGUUUUGUAUUUUUUAGAAGUCUCAUAUGGUUUGAAUUAAAGAUGGGUAUGGAUUUGGUGGGAGGAGAAUGUGCGAGGGUUAUGUGCAUGGAGAACGUUUGGAAAUGGCUGGUGCUACGAGAAUUGAGUUAUGGCAUCCAGUAAUGGUUAAGCUCUAUGAUUAAUUAUUAGUUAUUACAAAUAUAUCUUGUGCAAACUUCCAAAUGGUGCGGCGUGCAAUUUCUCCUAUGAAAACGGGGACAAGUUGGUCUAAUUAAGUCGGGAAUUUGAUUUGCUUAAUUUUUCUACUAGGAAAGAUUAUGUGCUAUUAAUGGUUAGUGGACUACCAUUGACAGAAAUGGAUAGUUAUAUACUUUGUAACCGGAAAUCACAUAUAGUAAUAUAAUCUUGUUAGUUUUAAUUAUAGGGUAUUUAAUUAAUUUACCUCUAGACAAAUUGCUUUGCACCCAAAUUUCACUAGACUAAUUUGAGAUAUUAACUAUUCUAACAACUAGUUGAUAUGCUACAUUGCUACUAAUGUGAGGACAACCAUAACUCAUAAUUAGAGAAUGGUCCUUUUAUUUUCAAAGACUUCCUUUGGUGUAAUAACAUAGUCAAAUACUAACUGAUGCAAUGGUUGAUUAUCACAACAUAUUUUUUUAAUGCGUUUCUUGGUUUAACUGUGAUAUCAUGCAGGCUGUAGUUAAGAGAAUGAUUGGUGUACAACAUUUCAUUAUUGAUUUAUAGCUUACUAGUCCUUUUGCCUAAGUUGAUUUCUUACUUGAUGUUAUUGCAGGAGCAUGUGAGGGAUGGAUUGCGUGUUCAACUUGCCAUGUUAUAUUCAUUAUUAUGGUUAAAUUUUUUUAAAAUUUUUAAUUUUUUUUAAAAAACACAUAUUCUAAGAGGGAAUGCUUACAUUUUAAGGCGUUUUUUUGGGGAAACCGUCUUAGAAUCCUCAAAAUGUUAAAAUUUUUUUAAAAAAAUAUAUUCUAAGACUAUUCUCUAAAGAAAAAAUCAUCUUAGAAUCCUCAAUAUAUUUUAAUUUUUUUUAAAAAAAUACAUUAUAUGACGGUUCUCUGAAAAACCCUCUUAGAAAGUCUACCCUUCUAAUACGAUUUUUAACAAGAACCAUCUUAGAAGGUAUCCUUCUAAGACGAUUUUUAGUUAAGAACCGUCUUAGAAGGAUACCUUUUUCUAUGAUGGUUUUUAUGGAACCGUCUUUCUACGAUGUUGCCUAUGAUGAUGGUUAAUAAUCGACGUCGAAUGUGUCUUUUAACUGACUUAGAAAACGCUUUGUCCAGUAGUAAAGCCACAACCAUGAUGUCACUUUGAUUAGCUCGAUGAAUUUUUGAAUAUCCCUUUCUUCCUCCUUGAACACUAUCAACUAUCAAGUUCCUAUGAAGCCACAAACUUCACACCAGUGCUUGCCAAAUUACCUUCCCUAUCUUAUUUUAAGGCAAUGUUUCCCUUAAUCAUAACAUGUUGCUGAAAGUGAUUACAUAACUUGUAAUGGAGAGCGCACUCCUUUAGGCUAAACCAAUCGUAAUUGGAAUUCCAUACUAGAGAUGCAAAACCACAGUUGAGAAGAAGGUGGUUUAUUGUUUCCAUCUACUAAGAACAAAAGGAACAAAGUUGACCACUAUUGUCCAUAAAAACAUUUCUCCUAAUCAAAUUCGUCUUUGAUUCAAUUCUAUCUAGCAAAGCUCUCCACGUGAAUCUCUUCACAUUUGAUAGGGCAGCCACCUUCCAGAUUGAAGCAGCACACAUACCAACCUCCCCCACAAAACUUUGUUGCUGCAAAACUCUGUACCCUUUGCUUACUGAGUAUAAUCCUGACUCACUUUGCUUCCAUCUCUAGUUGUCCCUAACAUGAUCUUUCACUUCCGAGAGCUAGGAAGCAUGGACACUUCCAAUGAAUUCCAUGUCCAUGUGUCUGACACCGACACUCUUCGGACUUGCGAUAGACAUUGUGUCGAACACGUUUUUCCAGCGCACAAUUCUUUUAAUUUUUUUUUUUGGCUUGGACAUGCCACAGACACUUCUCCAAAAAGUUGGAUACACAAAAAAUACUUCUCUAGACACACAAUGGAUACUUCUCUGGUUAUGUUUUUUAACAAAAAAUUUACAAACCAGCCCAAAAGAUUAUAUUAUAAAAAUUUAUUUUUAAAAUUAGCAUAUUUUGAUAACCUCUUUCACGUAACAUUUUGUCUUCUUCUCUUUUAUUCACGUUUGUGAUUUGUCUCUUUUGCACAACACCAUCCGUUCACAUUCUCGAGUACGCAGGUGUCACUGAUUAUUUUCCAUUCAUCAUUGCCUCAUCGGUGCCUCUAUUCGUCAUGUUUGGCUGACUUCGCGUUCAUGGUCUUUCUAUUUGUCACUUCAUCUUAUUUUUCUUUUCUAGUUCAUUGACUUUCCUCUCCUUUCAUGCAUUUUUUAUACACCCUUUGUUCGUCUUGAUAUAAAUCUUAAUUAUUAAUUUAUAUUCUUGUCAUGUUGAUCAUAUGUGUGUGUGUGUGUGUGUCAAGUCCCCGUAUCUUAUGGUUUAGAUUUUAGUCGUGUCCCAAUAUUUGUGUUUGUGUCGUGUCCUAUGUUCGAGUCCAUGCUUCAUAGCUAACAAGUUCACCUCAUCCAAAAACUCCCCCAUUAACUCAUAUUCCUAUUCAAAACACCUUUUCCUCCAUUUCCACUCCCAACACCACAUUUUCCAUCCACAACUUCAUUUAAGCUAUAAGGCAUUGUCUUUGUUUAGAUAAAGCAUAUAAUCUCGGGUAUCUUAUAGCCAAAGUCUCCAUUCCCCCUAUUUUUUAUGGCAUAACUCACAGUGUUCUCAUCAAACGAUUUCCCAUUUUUCCGAUUACCGCAUGCCCUUUCCACACCUUUCCACCAAUACGAUGGUUUAGAAAACCCCUCCCCCCUUUCCCUUCUUUAUACCCUCACCAUACUUAGACAUGAUUAUCCUUUCUCGAAGAGCCUCCUCAUUAGAAAAUAAUCUCCAUUUCCAUUUAGAAAGAAGAGCUAAAUUGAAGAGAUGGAUAUCUUUUACACCCAACCCUUCUUCCUCCUUAGGCCAACAAAUCCUAUUCCAUUUCACCCAAGCUAUUUUCCCUCCCUCUUCCCUCUUACCCCACAAAAACUCUAUUUGUAACCUCACCACUUUUUUAACCACCACAAUAGGAAUUUUGGAAAAAGAAAGGAAAAAAAGAGAUAACGAUUUGAGCACAAAGUUAAGUAAGCAAAUUCUUCCCCCAAAGGGUGCAUUCCUAUGUUUCCAUCUAUUAUGUUUCCUAUUCAUCUUUUGUAUAAUAGGCUCCCAUGUGCUUUCUUUGGCUGGAUUUGCACUAAUAGGGAUGCCCAAAUACUCAAAAGGAAGAUACAUUACCUUGCAAUUCAAAAGAGAAGCAUAAAUCUCAUUGGUGGCACUCUCAACAGCUACUCCUGCCAGUUUGCUCUUGAAGAAGUUUAUCUUUAGGCCCAAUACAAGCUCAAAACAUCUAAGGAUAGUCUUUAGGGUCAUAACGUGCUCCAUAGAAGGCUUGGCAAAAAAUAGAGUGUCGUCCACAAAUUGAAGUAGAUCAACCUCCAUGUGAUUUCUCCUUAUCUUCAUACUCAAGAACAGGUUUUUAUCUACCACUUCCCUCAUCAAUCCCGCUAGUCCCUCAGCCAUACAAAGGAAAAUGAAAGGUGCUAAUGGAUAACCUAGCCAUAAGCCUCUAUGCAUCCUAAACUCCUCGGCUGGGCUACCAUUCACAAGCACUAAUAAGAAACCUGAUUCAAUGCAUGCUUUCAUUCAUUUAAUCCAUAUCUCACAAAAAUCCAAUCUUCUAAGCAUAUAAAAAAGAAAUUUGCAAGAAACGAAAUCAUGUGCUUUUUAAAAAUCAACUUUGAAGAUCAAGCAUGGUUGUUUCUGUAGAAGCAAGCUUCAUGAUGAUGAAUCAAGUUGAUUCAAGUAGUUUUGAUGAUGACAAAGAUGAUGACAAAAAUCCUAAGAUAAUGAUUUCAAGAUUGAGUCAACAAGUUCAAGAUCAAGAUUAAUUUCAAGUUUCAUGAGAAGAAAUCAAGAAGAUUCAACAUUCAAGAGAAGUUUGGUUUCAAGAUUCAAGAGAAGAUGAAUUCAAGAUUCAAGAGAAGAAAUCAAGAAGACUUCACAAGGGAAGUAUUGAAAAGAUUUUUCAAAAAAACAAACAUAGUACAGUUUUGUUUUUCAAAAGAGUGUUUCUCAAAAUUUUCUAAGUUACCAGAGUUUUUACUCUCUGGUAAUCGAUUACCAAUUACCUGUAAUCGAUUACCAGAGGCAAAGUUUGAUUUCAAAAGCUUUUAACUGAACUUGCAACGUUCCAAUUGAUUUUUAAAUGGUGUAAUCGAUUACAAUAUAUUGGUAAUCGAUUACCAGUGUAUCUGAACAUUGAAAUUCAAAUUCAAUUGUGAAGAGUCACAUCUUUUCAUAAAAUGCUUUGUGUAAUCGAUUACAUGGUUUUGGUAAUCGAUUAUCAGUGACAAGUUUUGAAUAAAAAGUCAAGAAAUGUAACUCUUCCAAUGGUUUUCAGGUUUUUCUCAAGGUUAUAACUCUUCUAAUGGUUUUCUUGACCAGACAUGAAGAGUCUAUAAAAGCAAGACCUUGACUUGCAUUUGAAUAACUUUUUUCAUAUAUACUUUUACAACCUUUGAAUACCUUUGAACAUCUUUUUGAACUUCUUCUUCUUCUUCUUACUUUGCCAAAAGCUUUCUAAGUUUUCUGGUUUCCAAACCUUGUUCUUUCACAGAAAACAAAAGUGUGCUAUAUCUUUUUUUAUUCCCUUCUCCAUUUGCCAAAAAGAAUUCGACAAGGACUAACCGCCUUAAUUCUUUUUGUGUCUCUCUUCUUCCUUUUCCAAAAGAACGAAGGACUAACCACCUGAAUUCUUUUGUGUCUCCCUUCUCCCUUUUCAAAGAAUUCAAAAGGAUACAGUCUGAGAAUUCUUUUGAUUCUUCCCUUUCCCUUAAACAAAAGAUUUCAAAGGACUAAUCGUCUGAGAUAUCUUUUGUUUCCCCUUCACAAAGUUUUAAAGGACUAACUGUCUGAGAACUUUGUCUUAACACAUUGGAGGAUACAUCCUUUGUGGUACAAGUAGAGGGUACAUCUACUUGGGUUUUUGUAACUGAGAACAAGAAAGGGUACAUCUCUUAUGAAUCAGUUCAAGUGGAGGGUACAUCCACUUAGUUGUUCAAAGAGAACAAGGGAGGGUACAUCCCUUGUGGAUCUUUGCUUGUAAAGGUUUUUACAAGGUUGAAAAGAAAUCUCAAGGACCGCAGGUCGCUUGGGGAGUAGAUGUAGGCACGGGUUGUUGCCGAACCAGUAUAAAACUCUUGUGUUUGUCUUCUUCUUCCCUACACUCUUUAAUUUCCGCUAUGCACUUCAAUUAUCGCUUUUACUUUUGUUUAAGUUUCUAUUUCUGUUCUUUACUUUCUUAACAUUAUAGUAAAAGCCUAAUUGAAUCUAGUAACAUUAAGAAGGACAAAUUUUUAAUUAGUAAAGGUUCAUUAAUAAUUAAUUCAACCCCUCCCCCCCUUCUUAAUUAUUCCGAGGCCACUUGAUCCAACAGUUUCUUCCCUUUUUUUUACCUCAUCAACAACUUCAUUAGCCACCAUCACCCCAUCAAGCAUGAAUCUCCCACCAACAAAAGUGCUUUGUCGUUCAUCGAUUACUUUGCCUAACACCCUUCCAAGACGCAUAGCCAACAAUGUUGCUUUAAGUAAAUCACUAAUUUAAAAAUAAAUGUACUUAAUUUUAUAUAAGCACUUUAUAAAUAAAAAUAUCUUAAAGAAUUCUUUUCCAUCUUAUAAUUAAUGGCAUGUAUGCUCUUUAUCCUAUUCCAUGGGUAAUAAGACAAACACUUUUUUGUAUGUUGAUUUUUCUUACAAAAAAUAAAGUAAAAACUCAUGCAUCCUACAAGAGAAAUAAGCCUAAAUUCCCUUAGUCCCUAAGGAUUGUCCCUCUUAGGAAUUAGGGCAAUAAAAGGCGCAUUCCCUCCCUUGAGGAUCACCUUAUUGGAGUGGAACUCCUUCAAGCCUUAAUGAAAUCCACAUUUAGAAUAUGCCAAAACUUUUUUUAUGAAGGAGAAGUUAUAUUUGUCCCGACCAGGGCUUUUGUCUCCAUCACAAUCCCAUACCGCUUGCUUUAUUUCUUCAUCGUCAAAUAAAGCAAUGAGCAAAGUGUUGUCCUUUUCACCAAGCAAUUUAAAAUGCACUUCAUCAAAUUUCGGUCUCCUCCACUCUUCCUCUAAGAAUGUUUGUUGAAAGAAUUUCUUCAUUUGUUUUUCAUUUUUAUAAAUCAUCUUCCAACCUAUCAUUCACUUGAUCAUGAAGUCCCCUCAACAUAUUCAUUUUCCUCCUACCGUUAAUCAUAGCAUGAAACAAUUUUGUGUUACCAUCCUUUUCCUUCAACCACUUGCACCUAGUCUUUUGAUGCAUCAACGAUUCAAGCAUAAGAGAUACUUUCCAAAAUUCAUCAAAUAAGUCCUUCCUUCCCAGCACUGAUUCCUCACUCACAUCCUUCACCUCAUCUUAUAAAUCAAUCUCAUGAAUUUUUUCCACCAAUUCCCUUUUCUUUUGUUGAAAUUUUCCAAGUUGAUCUUUAUUCCACCUUUUCAACUCCCCCUUAAGUAAUGUGAGCCUUUCCUUUGACACAUAGCCCGCCCAGCCUCUCAUAUUCAUUCCUUUCCAUGAAUCCUCAACCAACUCUUUAAACUUCCCAUCUUGUAGCCAACAACUUAGCACCCUAUAGGAUUUAAGACCCCGAUCAACAUUGGAAUUUUUUUAGCACCAAGGGGCAAUGAUCUGGUACACUUCUCUUUGAAACAAAGGUUAUACUUCCCAACCAUUUUUCAAGCCACUCUUUAGAUACAAGGUAUCUAUCAAGUCUAUUCUUGCAAUGACUAUUGGGUUUAUACCAUGUGAACCUCCUCCUCACUAGUGGUGCAUCCUCUGGUUCCAUAUUUUGAAUGAAGUUAUUAAACUCAUUCAUUUCAGUUCCUCCUACCUCUAUCUUAAGUCUUCCUCUUCUUUCAUCCAUUUUCCUUAUUGCAUUAAAAUCUCCUAACACACACCAUAUCCCACUUCCCAAUUGAUUUUUUUACUUGAUGUAAAUCCUCUGAAAGCUUCCUCUUCUCAAGCAUAGUGCAUAGUGAAUACACGUACAUGAUCAUGCUUGGAUCUUCCCUUUCCUCCAUACCCCUUGCACCCCAAUAAAUCCACUUCCAAAAAAAGAAUUUUUCAUUUGGAAUAGCUCCUUUUUCCAUGCAAUAAAUAGACAUCCUACAACAUUAAUUGUUUCCCUUUCCAACCAUGCAACUUCAUCAACACCCCACAAUGAGUGAAAGAAGCUUUUGUCCACAUUUGUUAUUUUGGUUUCCUGUACAAACACCACAUCUAUUCCUCCCUCCUCUAUUAUUUUUCUCAACUCUUUCUUUUUUAUUCUCCCUCUCAUUCCUCUUAUAUUAUAGCUUAGUAUCUACAUAAUUCAACCAUGGUUGCACCUUCCUUUACCUCCUCUCCAAGUCUAUUCCUUUUGUCCCUUGUCAUUUUUCCAUAUGUGGAUAUUUUGGCAAUCAAAGCUCUGUAAGUUUUAAUUACACCAUACAUUCCUAUCAUUUCUCCCUCCCCCCUUUGAAACUUGUUUUCCAACUUUGUUUCCAGAUAUGCUUAUAGGCUUUAGCUUACUGUCCAUCCCCAAUUGCUUUGUGCCACAAGUUUCCCCUAGUUGCUUCGAGGGUCUCAUGCCUUCAAUGUUUUUUGCUCCCUUUUUCUAAUAUUCCUUCUUGCUUCUGUGUAACCACGUUUAUGCCCAAAGUCAUGUUAUGGGUUGAAGGUGAACUUAUGUCCAACAUCUUUUUCCUAUAAUUAUACUUAGGUUUCGCAGAUCCAUAAUCUUUAAAUUUUUUGCUCUAAGACUAGCCCACAUCUUCCUCCCUCGUAGCCUCGGGCUUACACUUAUUAACCUCAUUGUGUAUACCCGCAACUGCCAACUCCUUUUGAGUUUCUACCACAUAUUUCCCCAUCCCAUAGAGUAAGUUACCUACCUCCAUCUGGGCCCCACCAUUUCAAACUUCCUUUGUCUGCGUCCCUUCACCUUCUGACCCCUUCUCCUCCUUUUCUACACCUAUUGUUUCCCUUUCCUCAAUUGUCCCCUCAUUCCCUUUUUUAUUCCUUUUUUUUCCUGAUUUAAUUUUGUCUCUCCUUCUACAAGUUAUUGAUCUCCUCAUAGAGGGUAUUUUCCUUUUGUUCAUCCAUUUUGCUUAUGUCCCUUUGCCCAAAGUUUCCUUUUGUGUGUCUACUCCUCUACUAUAUUUUCUUUUUGUACAACCUAGGCAUGUUAUAAUGUCCUCUACUCUACUUUGCCCAUUUGAAUUUUUCUCCACCAGUACUUUCUCCCUGGCCAACGAUUGUGGUGCGCCUUUGGCUCCGCUUCCUUUUGCGACACCUCCCUAGAACCCUUUCAUCUUUUAUUUCUUCAUCAAAGCUUGAGCAUUCUGAUUCACUAGAAAUCCUACAUUCCCCAUCCAACCUGAAUACAAAUGAUUCUUCAUUUGAUUCAGAUUCACCCCCCUUCUGCAUCUUGCAUCAACAUAAGCUUUUCUUCUGACUUUUGUUUUCUUCCAACAUGAAGAUCGCACAAAUAGUGUUGUGGUUUUGACCUAUUGAUGUUUGUUGAUCAUCCUCGUUACUGAGGUUCUCACAAGUAUUCUUGCUUUGUCUAGCAUCGAGAAAAACAUGGUCCUUUCAUCAACCAUAACUAUAGAGCCAACAUAUGCUAUGAGUUUGCAAAAACAUCCCUGAUUCCAAAACUUAAAUGGAACGUCGUAACAGUUCACCCAAACCACUCAACUUCCUGCUCCCACAAAAUCUGACCAUGAGUACAUGUGUCCAAAUAUCUUUUUCCACCAUUCAGCAUUGUUCUUCAAAGCCAUCUCUAUUUUUAUAUCUCCCUUUAUAGACAACAAUGCCAAAUUGUCUCCCAGGCUUUUCACUUUGAUUGCCUCCAUGUCUUCCAAAAUGAAAAACUCUUUUAGCCUUGUUGUGUUGAUAUUAUUGCUCAUCCUAGCCACCCAACUUCUUCUCAACUAGUCAAUAUCAUUUUCCUCCAUUCUCAAGGUGGUCUAUUAAGUUAAAAGACAUUUGUAUCUUAAGGUGAAUAAAGACCCUUAAUUAUUUUGAUUACAUGUAAACAAAUACAAAGGUCAAAAGUUGUAUCUUAUGCAUCAUCAGAACAUGUUUUGUGAGUUUGCGUCUAAUUUUCCAGACGAUAGCAAGCUAAGAUCAUGAUUUUUUAGGACACUAAACUUGGCAUUUAAAGAUUUCACUUAAUGCUUUGUGUCUAAGAUUUGUUUAGCAGAGAUAUUCUCCUAGAAUUUGUCGAAUCCUAUGAAGAAUAAAUUAAGCUCAAGCUCUAAAAUUCAUCAAUUGCCAUCAAAAGAAUUGUUUUGUUGCACAAACCUACUUUUACGCAAAAAGAAGUGGUUUCUUGCUGAAGUAUUCAACAUGUUGGCAAAGAAGAUAGGUUGGCCAUUUUUUUCUUUUUUGUCUAAAUUUAUACAAAUUCAAAAGAAAAAAAUAACAAAAUAUCGAGCCAAAAAAAGAUGGAUUGAAUUCGAGUCUAUAUUUCUUAAGUCCAAUCAGACCCAACGGGCCCAUCAAGUCGACACAAAUAGGUUUGAUCUAUUAAGGUCAACAUUUUCUCAGUCCAUCUUGGCCUAACCCGGCAGGCUAAUAGGCUAGCCCAAUCCAUUUUGUCUUGUGGGUCAAUAUUUAAGUAUUUGAAUAAAAAAUAAUAAACCCAUAACUUCAUUAAAAUGAUAUAUUUUAUUACAUUAAGCAAAUGACAUAAUUUUAAUAAAUCUCAAAAAGAUAUAUCACACUUUUUCUUCAAUUUUGCUCUUAUAUUAUAGUCUAUCAUUAAAUUUAAGUCUUGCAAAAAAUAUCACAUACACAUAAAUAUAUCUAUGUAUAACAUAAGCAAGAUGUGUUUGGAUUUAAAAGAGACAUUUUUAUAUUUUUUAAACACAUCUCCAUCCUUAUUUGGUAAAACGGAAGGGAACACAUCACAUUUUUUUACAAUUGUAAUUUACUUGUUUGUUUUUCAAAUUAAUAUUAAUUUUAUAUUUAUAAUUUAGUUUAAUUUUUUUAUUCGGGUCCUCAAAGAAAAUGAUCUAAUUCUAUUGUUAUCUCUAUCAUCGUCAUAAUAUAAUUUUAUAUUAAAUCUUACAUAUAUUUUUGUUGUUUAUUGUCAUACUAAUUUUAAAUAUAUUUUCUUUAUAAUUUGAGUUUUUAUUUUUGUUUCUUAUCUUGUUAAAAUGAAAAUAUUUUAAUCCAUUACAUGUUGAUAUAUCACUGUGGCUCUCAAAAUUUAUUGGAUGUGGAUUUACUAAUGUAACACAUAAAAACUUAACAACUAAUUGAGUGAUACAUUUUAUUCAGAUGUGUCAUAUUAUUUUAAUUUGAAAAAAAAAGAGACAAAAUAAAAUAAUAAUUUCAAUUAUUUUAUAAAAAAGAUAAAAUGAUAUAGAAAAAUGGCCUCUAACCUUCAGCUACCAUUUAUUUUAUCUUUCUAUCUUUACUAUUCAACUUGACAUUCUAUAGUUUAUAUUUCAGUAUUUUACAAAUUUUAUUUUUUGCAUUAUUAUUUAUUCGGUUGAUUGAAAUUGGGCUUACAUGAGCUAUUAUUAUUUAAAUGCACCCCUCUUUGCUAAGUGCACCCCUUGCUUUUGUUUAAUUUUUUGGAUAAAAAUACCUCUCAUGGAAGCACGUCUCCGUUGAUCACCAAUGCAAAAUAGAAACAUGCUUAAAUUUGUAUUGGGGGUGUAUUCCCAAUACAUCCCACGGAAACACGUUCCAGUAUUAGCAUACAACAUUUAAAACAAUGAAAUAAAAAAAAUGAAGGGGAAAGAGAAUUAAUAGAAGAGAAAUGAAGAGGAGAAGGUGAGGGGAGAGUGGGUACAAGUGGGGUUACUAAAAUCAGAAAAAAGGGGGUGGGAUUGGGAUUGGGAUUGGGAUUGGGGUAGUAAGAUAAUUAUAGAGCUAGUGCGUUUAGAAAUAUUCUUUUUUUUUUUAUUGUUUUUGUUAUGUUUGUGUGUUAUUUUAUUGGGAAAAUGGACUUAAUGUGGCCCAAUAGAAUGAACAGCAUAAAAUGUUGCUUUGUGCACCAGCAGAAUUUCUGGUACACCCAGCAUGUUUUUAAAUUUCCCAUGAUACCCCUCCCUUAUAACUUCUUCUUUUCUUUCCUUCUUCUUAUUCUUCAUUCUUUCCUUCCAAACCGAAGAUUUGUUCUCGUGAGAGGUCUUCCAUGAGAGGUGCUCAUUCGUUGUUGUGUCAUUUUGGUGGAGAUGUAUUGUUUAUGGUGGUUCAUCGACAAGUGAUGGUUGUGUUGGUGAUUGAUUUGGCCAUUAACGACGGAGGUAUGGUCUUCGAUUUGGUUUAUUUCGAGUAAAACUUAUGGAUUGAUAAUUAGUAUAUUAUAUAAAAUUUAUUGAUUGAUAAUCCGUAAAUUUUAUAUAACUUACGAAUUGGUAAUCCGUAAGAAACUUACGGAUUGACAAUCCGUAUGUUACUUACGAAUUGGCAAUUCGUAAGUUCCUUUUUUAUUUUUAUAAUUUUUUAUUGUUUAAUUAAAUAAAAUUAGAAUUAUUAAUUAAAAAACUUAUAAAUAGAUAUAGUUUCAAUAUCCAUUCGAAAGUUGUAGUUUGAAAGUGAUAUUAAUCUUAAAAGAAUUUAUACUUUUAAUUUAAUUUAGUCGUUUUAACAUAAAAAAAAUUGUCCUUUUUAAUUUAAUGUAAUAUCAUUAAAUGCAAUAAAAAAAUGAGAAAAUUAUGUGAUAGUAUAAUUAUGAUUUGGUUAGGGAUUUUUUUUUGUCAUUGAAAUUUUUGAAUGUUCUAAUAAUAUGGACGAAGAUCAAUGGAUGCAUGACAGUAUAAUAUCUGAAGAAGUUGAUAUGAAUGAACAAAAUGAACACGAAGCUGGUGUGAAUGAAGAACAUGUUAAUUGUUCUGAUACGUUCAAUACUUUUUAGGUAUUAAUAUGAUUUAUUAUUAUUAAAGUAAGUAAAUGAAUGUCUCUUGAAGACUAAACUUGUAUGGAUUGUAUUGUAGGUGUUUGCUACCCAUGAUGAUGUUCUAGAUUGGACUCGAUCUGUUGCUUAUGAAAUUGGUUUUAUGGCGGUGAUUAUGAGAUCAAACACAAAUAUUGGUAUUAGAGGAAGGACCUCAUUUGUUUUAAUUGAUUGUGAAAGGAGUGGUCAGUAUAGGACCAAGAAGAAAGAUUUGGUAAGAACAAUUACUAGUAGUAGAAAAUGUGGGUGUCCCUUUAAGCUACAUGCGAAACCAGUGGUGGGAGGCGAAGGAUGGAUGGUGAAGUUAAUGUGUGGGAGUCACAAUCAUGAAUUGGUCAAGUUAUUUGUUGGACAUCCAUAUGUUGUCGACUGACUAAGGAUGAGAAGAUCAUUGUUUCUGAUAUGACAAAGUCAAUGGUAACAAGAAAUAUUCUUCUAACGUUGAAGGAGCACAAUGCCAAUAGUUAUACAACAAUCAAGCAAAUAUACAAUGCAAGAAAUGUGUAUCAUUCUUCCAUAAGAGGUAGUAAUACUAAAAUGCAACAACCAAUGAAGCUUCUUGAAUGGGAUCAAUAUAUUCAUUGGCAUAGAUUGAAGGAUGAAGAUGUUGCACAUGAUAUAUUUUGAAGUCACCCUGAUGCAGUCAAAUUAACCAAUGCCUAUAAUUUGGUAUUUUUGAUAGAUAGUACCUAUAAAACAAACAGGUACAGGAUGUCAUUACUUGAUAUUGUUGGUGUGACACCAACAAGGAUGACAUUCUCGGCUGCUUUUGCCUAUUUGUUGGGCUCUACAACGAUUUUGAGAUUUUUUUCUUCAGACAUGAUGCACUCCCUAAAAUUAUUGUUACCGACAGAGAUCUAGCAUUGAUGAAUGCAGUGAAAAUUGUAUUCCCUGAAGAUACCAAUUUGUUGUGUCGGUUUCACAUUCCCUAGUUGGUAAAAAAAAUGCAUGGGAUUAUGUCAUGGAAGCCUGGGGGAGUUUGGUGGAUUGUCCUUCUGAGCAAGAGUUCGAUAACUUCCUUAUGAAGUUUGAAAUUGUUUGCUCACCAUGGCCAAUGUUUGUUGACUAUGUGAAGCAAACAUGGUUAAUUCCUCAUAAAGAAAGAUUUGUUAAAGCCUGGACGAAUAAGGUGAUGCAUUUAGGAAAUACAACAACUAACAGGUAUGAAAAAUUAAAUAUAUUUUGGUAUUAGGGUUCAGGGUCUAAUGGAUAAAAAUAAUUGUUUUUGUUUACUUGUUUGUGUAUUUCAAAUGCAAGGUUGAGUCUGCUUAUUGGGCCUUAAAGAGACUACUGUAGAAUAGCCUUGGAGACCUGUGUACUGUUUGGGAAGCCAUGAACAACAUGAUCACGUUGCGACACACUAAAAUUAAAGCAUCUUUUGAGACAAGUACACAUGUCGUUGAACAUGUUUUUAAAGUUACCUUAUACAAGAAACUACUUGGCAUGGUAUCAAGGUAUGCUUUAAACUAAAUUGUUGUUGAGUUUGAGUGAGUAUAUUAUGUUGGCAAAAACCCUUCUCAUUAUGGAUAUAUAAUGAGAACUACUCACGGUCUUCCAUGUGCAUGUGAGCUAGCUAUAUAUGUUUAUGGUACCAUACCACUUGACACAAUCCAUAUGUUUUGAUGAAGGCUAAGAUUUUCAGACCAAAGGUUAUCUAAGCUUGAAGUCAGCAUAACUAAAGAGAUGGAAACCAUAACCAAGCGGUUUAAAGAGCUUGAUGUUUAUGGAAAAGUUACUCUAAAGAUUAAACUUCGGGAAAUUUCCUACCCUGAUCUAAACUCUUUGUGUGCUCCUCCAAAAAAGGUGAAAACAAAAGGUGCUCAAAAGCAACCGAUGACCAAACAUCAAAGAUCAACAAAGUGUGAUCCAUCUUACUGGGAGUAUGUUGAUGCAUUACAUUCUGUGCAAAAUAGUAAUUCUUCAGUCAAACGUAGUGCAUCAUCAUCUGAUCAAGCAAAACCAAGAAGGAUCAUGCCGAUGUUGGAUCAAUUUCAUCCACGCAUUCAUGAUUCCAUUGAAAAUAUUGUUGAUGUCAAAGCUGAUGGUAACUGUGGAUAUCGUGCAAUUGUUUCCUUAUUAGGUAUGGGUGAAGAUUCAUGGUUUUGGUUCGCAACCAUUUACUUAAAGAACUUGCAAAAUGGUCUAAUGAGUAUAUCAACUUGCUUGGUGGCACUAACAGAUUUGAGAAAUUAAAGUGGUUCCUACUUGUUGAUGGAUUAUCCAUGGUAUAUAAGUUUUUUGUUACGUUUCAAUGGAUUAAAUUUUCUUUAAAUAAAUGUAAUUAUAACUAUUACAUGCAAGUUACCAUGGAUAAGUGGAUGAAUAUAACUGACACGGGAUAUGUGAUUGCAUCAAAGUAUAAUGUCAUCCUUGUUUCUCUUUCUCUCCAACAAAGCAUGACGAUUUUUCCUCUUAGAAGUCCACCACCAACAAAUUGUUCUGUGCAUCGGGUUAUAUGUAUCGUUCAUGUGUAUGGCAAUCAUUUGGUUAAGGUAAAAACAUCAUCAUCCUAAUAAUUUGAAUAUGUAUGUCCUUAUGAUACAAGUAUUUCUAAGAGACCGUUGUCCCUUACCGCCAAUAACUUUGUUAUGGUCUACACAUUGUCAUCAUUAAGCAAAGCAGUGGCCUACACCAUAUAUUGGUAGAAUGCAGUAGUAUACAAAUUUGUCAAGGUUGAAAAUAGACUUUGUUGAUUUAGGUGAAGAUUGAACAUUUAGUUACUUAUGCAGUGGUCAUGUAAUACGAUAAUAUAUGUGUAUUUCAUUGGACGUUCAUAUAAUUAUCUAUUUUAGUUAAGCUUCAAAUGAUAUAUAAUUAUUUAUGUUUUAGGGUUACUUGACUACCUAGGGUCUAGGGUUAUGUCGCUAAUUAGGGUGUAUCGUUACCUGAUCAAUUAGGGUUUAUGGUUAAGUCAGUACUUAGGGUUUACUAUUACGUGACUAAUUAGGGUGGUUUCAUUGAUUAGGGUUAUUAAAGGUUUAACAUCGCGUUAUAAAUUGGUGAUUAAUUUAAAAUUCACAUACAACAUAAAUGAUAAUAAUUAAAAAGCGUAUCAAAUAACAUUAAAUAAUAGACAUUAUUCAAUCAUAUUGCAUACAUAAUUGAUAUAAAACCUAAAAAAUAAUAAAAGUCUUCAUGUGUCUUCCAUACGUCGCCUUCGUCUCAAUUGAACAUAUACAUUUCGUUGCUCAAUCACACCUUUUGUGAUCCUUAGGCAGCCUUCAGCGACAGUGUAUAUUUCUGUUCCUUCAAUCACUAUCUUAGGUUGAGCAACAUUUCCAACCUUUUAUCUAUUGCUUGGCAAGCCUCCUAGGACAUUGACAACAAGGAAAUUUUUUUAGGGUUAAUGCAUGUUCAGAUAAAAUGAGUAACAGUGACAACUUAAAAUAAAUUUUACCACUACAUGUCAAGGCUGCUCUACAUCAGCAUGUGCAUCUGCAAGAGCUUCGUCCAUAGCCAUUACCGCCAUCGACUACUGAGGAAGAUCUGGUUCAACAAAUGUGUCGUCGUGCAUCACGGGUAGAUGUCUAGGAGGAUCCCCAGGCUGUGCGGGAGUCAUGAAGGGAUGAGAUAUCAUGUAAAACCACUCCGUGUAGUCUGUUGCACACUAUCCGAGCGCAACACAUAUCUGACCCACCGGUGCAAGCUAUUCAGAAAACUGAAUCCAUCUAUCAUCAAUCUAUUCUACAUAUAGACAUGGAGCAGUAGGGUGCGGUGGAAUGGUCUGCACAUACCCAAACUGUCGCACAACCCUCUCUGAUCGAUGUACAACAAUAGAUGGACCCCAAUGGAUAUGUUUGGAAAAUAAAGAGAUCAGCUCAAAUUCUCUUAAUGCACGGUGGUCAGAGUAAGGAAUCCAGCACACAGAAUCAAACGUCAAUCUAUCUAGACGCUUACGAUACAUCGACACUGGCAAUGCCCUUCCUGACUUCCAACGACAAGCACGUGGUUUCCUCUCAUCAUAAUCUUUAGCAGAAAUAAAAGAAGCAACAAAAGGAAAAUGCUCGUAGAUCCAACACUGCACAUAUUUAAAAACAACAAAACAAUACUCAAUAUAAACUAAAGAACUAAAAAAAUUAAAAGUACUUGUAAAAGUGUGAUAUAUCCUGCAAGUUUUCUGGCGCUACUCUUUGACACAUCAUUCAAAUUCUCAUACAUAUGGACCAGUGCAGCAGCUUUCCAUGCAUAGAUUCCACUCUACGUUAGGUCACGAAAUGCGUCCAAGAAUACCACAUGAACGUGUGUGACACUCUUGUUAGCAAAAAGUGUGCAACCUACCAGAUGCAACAAAUAUGCUCGAGCUGCUACAGUCCAUUGUGUUGCGUCACAUUUGCAUUGAUAUAUGUCUCGCAGCUAGGAUAGUCGAACAUAUGCCCCAUGGCAUUGUACUGUCUCAGCUCUUGCCUCUUCAAAACUCAUUUCAAGCAAUUCAACUAAAAGGAAGACGACAUCAUCCACAUGAAGAGCCUCAAAGCUAUGGAAGGUGCCUGUAAUGGGCAGAAGUAGCAAUGAUGCUACAUCAUCCAGGGUGAUAGUCUCAUCUCCUAUCGGCAAAUGGAAAUUACUAGUUUUCUUAUGCCACCUCUCCGCAAAAGUAGAGAUAAGUCCUUGAUCACCAGUGUCCAGCAAACAUGCGAUUAGAGGACUUAAUCCUGUGGCAGCCACUAAGCCUUCAAUAUCUGGAGCAAGCCUGCCAAAUUUCUCUACCUUCCUUUCAUAGGAGGACAACUUCAACUCAGGACGUUCCUAACAAUAAAAAUUUUAAUCAUUAUAACAAUAAUAACAAAUAGUUAUGAAAAUAUUAUUUAUCAAAAUAUAAAUACCCCUCUAUUCCAAAUUGUCACUGUCAUAUGAUAAACAUAGUCCAUCAAAACUGAUUUAUCGUGGGGUCCGCCUGGAAAACCCUCGACAUCAGUAACUACAUCAUCAACAGCUGUCUCUACAGGCUCUUCAUGCACCUCAUCAGCUACAUGAUACACAUGCUCGACAUCCUCAGCAAUAGGUGCAACUUCAUGUUGCCUACGUGCAGAUGUUGUGGGCCUUUGUCACUGGGGGCUUCAUCCGCAUCACGACUCUCUAAGGCUCUUCAUAUAAUUCUACCUAAAGCCCGACCCAAACCUCUGGUCUUAACCAUAAUUUGCACAUUAAAACAGCCAUAACAAUUAAUGUCAUUCUUCAAAUAAUAUUUCACUUUCAUUAAUAUAUAUUUACCAAUUUAUUAUUUAACUUUUUUGAUACUUUUAUAUAUUCAUAAAUCAAUAUACAAUUUUUAAAAAAAAAUAUUUAUAGACUACACACCACUAAUUCUAGUAAACUUAAAUAUAUGAUAAAAAUCAUACAAGUAACUAUUUCAAAUUUCAAAUAUAAUUAACUUGCAUAAACAAAUAACAAAAAAUAAUAAUUUAUUAAAUUAAAUAAUUAUUACUAACCAACUUAAAAAAGAAAUUUAAUUAAUUAAUUAAAUACAUAUUAAAAAUAUACAACAAUAUUUAUUUUUUAUUUAUUACAUAAAUAUUAUAACAACUAAAUUAUUAAAUUGUUAAUUAUAAAUUAUUAAAUUAUUAAUUAAUUAACUAAAAUUAAUUAAAUAAUUAAUUAUGUAAAUUAUAUGAAUGAUUAAUCCGUGUAUAAGCCAUAUGGAUUGACAAUCCAUAUCACUUAUAUGGAUCCCCAACCACACUCAACAAUGGCAAUGACAGCACACAAACAACCACAAAGACGAAGAGCUACUUACGCCGCGAAAGGAGAAUAUGACGAUGAUUGUGAUGGAGUGACCGACGGCACCAAUGGCGGUGGCAACGACGAGAGAAGAAGACACAAUGAAUGAAGGAGAUAGCGGCGCAACCUGUACGGACAACCCGAGGGAGAAGGAGAGUGAGAGGAAAAGGGUUUUUAAAAUUAAUGUUAAAAACAUUUUUGCUACUUCACAUUAUUUUUGCUAAGUGCACCAGCAUUUCUGUUGGGUGCAAGAAGCACUAGCCAAGGAGAAAACUAAAUUGUUGGGCCAAACUUUAACCAAUGUAAAUUGUUGUGCAAUAUGAUAAAAAUAUGGAAGCAAUAUAUACAACAUUAUAAAAAUAUUGAUCAAAAUGUACAAUAUUUUGAAAAUAUGAGGAUAAAAUGUGAGAAAAAAUAAUGAAUAUAUAAUAAAGUUAUAUGAAUGAUAUUUGUUGUCUUUGAACCUCUUGGAUAAUGUCAUUGUCAAUCUCAAACCGUCAUUAAUCUCCUGUAACUCAACCCUAUCGCCCAUGUCACGCAUGCAAGCCCCCAUUACACAACAACUAAUCUAAACUCUUCGAUUCUUAAUAUUUAUUUAGUUCCUUCGUAAUAAAAUAUUUGUAGAACAAUUAUCAAGCCUUAUUUUAUUCACGCUAAACCUAAAUGGGUAUUUUUUUAAAAGGAAAAUGAAUAAUGUUAAUCCCAAUUUUGAGUGCAUGCGUAAGACUAGAAGAUAGAUAAAAAUAUACAAAAAUAAAAUAAAAGAUGCAAUUAUUAAUAUGAUAAAACAAUAUUAAAAAAAUGUGAUAAAAAUUUGAAAAGAAAGAAAUAAGUAUCGGCAUUGGGGCAAUCGAAGGAUAUACAGAGACGAGACUUUCUCCAAUGGGGCCAUAAGCAAAUCAUAUAAGUGAGUCUAACAUCACACUUUAACUUAAAACCUUAAAGAUAGAUUUAUGGGUGUUCUCUUCACUUAUAUGGUGUUUAACUUUUUCAUUCUUAUUCAAUAUGAGACUUCAUCUCACACUUGUACAAUAACAAUAUUUUAAUUAUUGUGAUUUAUCCUUUUUAGAUCACAUAAAGAAAAAGAAUAAAAAUGUAUAGAAGAAUAUAGAGUAAAAGUGUGCUAUUUAAAUAGAUAAAAAUAAAUUAUUUAAAAAUAUAUACUAAUUCAAAUAUUAAAUUUAACUUACAUUAAAAUUUUAUUAAAUUAUUUUUCUUAACAAAAUUAUUUAUUUAUAUGUUAAUAAAAUUAUUUAACUUUUAAGAAAACUAAUACAAGA
This 26758-nucleotide long non-coding RNA is filed under the name Glycine max (soybean). RNAcentral describes it as "long non-coding RNA (GMAX_LNC000173)". The record is from RNAcentral. Lineage: Eukaryota; Viridiplantae; Streptophyta; Magnoliopsida; Fabales; Fabaceae.